UACAUGUUAGUUUUCUAGAAGUGCCGAAUU
RNAcentral lists this non-coding RNA (30 nucleotides) under Mus musculus (house mouse). The record is from RNAcentral. Lineage: Eukaryota; Metazoa; Chordata; Mammalia; Rodentia; Muridae.